Molecule: long non-coding RNA, 199 nt
Filed under: Elaeis guineensis (African oil palm)
Lineage: Eukaryota; Viridiplantae; Streptophyta; Magnoliopsida; Arecales; Arecaceae
Description: long non-coding RNA (EGUI_LNC030581)
Source: RNAcentral
CCCACACACAUACUUUCCUUUGACUGAGAGGCUAUAUUGUAGAGGGACAACAUCAUUAGUCCAACAUCGGUUGUGAGUCAAAAAAAAAUCUGGCUUAUAUAGAAUAGAACACUCUCUCUCCUGUGAGGAACAAUUUGAAUGAAAAAAAUAUGAGACCUCAUGUCAUAGCGACCAAAGCCAAAACGGACAAUACCUCACG